UGUUGAUAGAGGCUGCAGAGCUACUGGGGUCCCAGCAGUGCCUCCAGGUCUUGUGGCCAGAGACCUGGCAGAUGAUUGUGUUUGCCAGAGCUGGUGGUGUAUGUUCACUUGGCUCCACGGUCUUAGCUGCAUAUGCUUAUGUAAUGGCAGAGGAUGGUUGCAACCACAUAUGCAGACAUCUCCAAAGGAAAUGCACUAUGUCAGAAGGGCCCUUUCUAAUGCUUCACCUCUCCAAUGCUUGAUUUUCCAAAGAGAGUAACUGUGCUAGGAGUAACUAAAGGAAGAUCUCAAGAAUCUUAAGUUUCAAAUAACAUUUGAUAUUUCACACUCAUAUGCAAAGUGGUAAAUUGCCAG
This 354-nucleotide long non-coding RNA is filed under the name Capra hircus (goat). RNAcentral's name for it is "lncRNA (ENSCHIG00000001528.1)". Lineage: Eukaryota; Metazoa; Chordata; Mammalia; Artiodactyla; Bovidae. The record is from RNAcentral.